UGGUGAUCUGAGAAUAGGGGAACCGGG
Molecule: non-coding RNA, 27 nt
Filed under: Rattus norvegicus (Norway rat)
Lineage: Eukaryota; Metazoa; Chordata; Mammalia; Rodentia; Muridae
Source: RNAcentral